This is an RNA transcript of Raphanus sativus (radish), 1171 nucleotides long. It is a transcript of the gene named retinoblastoma-related protein 1-like, with no coding region annotated. The record is from RefSeq and is a predicted model, not a curated record. NCBI's taxonomy places the organism in Eukaryota, Viridiplantae, Streptophyta, Magnoliopsida, Brassicales, Brassicaceae. The transcript is spliced from 6 exons.
GACUAUGAUUUAUACACUAAAUAGUUUUUGUCUUUCUUCUUCUCCAUACGAAGAAACAAGAGCAAGUCUCAGAUUCAAUCCACUUUGCUUCCUCAAAUUCUCAGAUUUGAUCUCUGGCCACCGUCGAUUGAAGCUUUACCACCACACUCCUUUUGACACUAUCGCUCUUUACCACCACCAGCUCGUCACCACCUCACCAUCUCUCUCUCUAAUUUUGUUUUGAUUUGACUGGAAGGUGGGUCGUGAGCAACUGAAUUAGGGUUCAGAUUAGGUUCCCAAGGUCGCUCCUGCUCCUCGUACGGUUUCUGGGGUUGGAGAUGGCGGCAUUGAUGAAGCAGCGGAGGAGGCUUCGGUGCAGAAGAAACGUGUUUCUCUUCAGAGACAAGCCGCCGUUACGGUUGAGGCUGCUGAGGAUUGCGCUUGGAGGUUUGAAUCUGGUGUCAAUGAGAAUGUGCUUCUUGGGAGAAAGCCAAGGAAAUGAGAGAGCAAGGAGGAUCAUUUCUUGUAAAAUCUGCGGCAAGAAGUACCAUAAGAAUUGUGUAAAGUCCUGGGCUCAACAUAGAGAUUUGUUUCACUGGAGUUUAUGGAGUUGUCCCUUUGUGAGAGUCGUCAUAUUCUUUAGGUCUGCCGUAGAACAGGAGAUCCUAACAAGUUUGUGUUCUGCAGGAGGUGUGAUGCCGCUUACCAUUGUGAAUCUCUUAACACCAAUGGCCUAGUUUCUAUAUUGGCUAUUUUGAUCAUACACAUCCCUUGUCGGUUUAGAAAUUUCAGCAUCCAAGACUCUUCACGUUUUGAUUUCAGAUGGAUUGCUGAAAUAUUGCAAGAGUCUGCAAAAUCUUUCUCUGCAUAACAAUCCCACUUUAACGGAUGAGUUUCAGCUUGUGUUAUUGUGUAUAACAUAACAGUGGUGUAAAUGUAUAUAGAGGGAAGGGCUGGACCUUGAAGACUGUCCUCAAAAAGAGCCUCUUGGUCAUGGGUUCUAUGCAGACUUCAUUACGGCAACAAAGAUACAAUACCAGAUUUCAUCAGCGAGUUUAUCUGUUGUAUUUUGCAAUGAGUUCAUGUGUUUUGAAUAUUUUUGGAAAAGCAUAUGGUAUGUUAUGAUUUAUGUGUUUUAUUAGAGUAAAUUAUAUUUAUUAAUCUUAUUGCAAUAUAUAUUAUAAAAAAUUUA